This is a long non-coding RNA of Sarcophilus harrisii (Tasmanian devil), 748 nucleotides long. RefSeq lists it as uncharacterized. Lineage: Eukaryota; Metazoa; Chordata; Mammalia; Dasyuromorphia; Dasyuridae. The transcript is spliced from 5 exons. The record is from RefSeq and is a predicted model, not a curated record.
UGUGGCAAAACCCUAUUUAACUUAUGCUAGUUAUGAUUCUAUCUCUACUGAUUUGGGCUCUGAAUAACUUACAGAACUAAAAGAGGAAAAUGGGAAGGGGUCUGUAUGAGCAAUGUCUUCACAUAGCUACCCCAUUUCCUUAGAAAAAACUAUUCAAGAGAAAUAAUAGACCUACUAUCCUGAUACACCUACUAACCAAUGAUAACUACCAGCUAAUCAGCAGCAGCAGUAGCAGCAUUGAUUGAGCAACUUCCUAAAAAUAUUAUGCAAAACAGAAUCAUAGGAUACAGAGUUCAAAAAGACCACAGAAUUUUCAAUAUGAAGAAACUGCCAUGUAUCAGUCAUGAUGUCUCCAAAACCAUGAAGCUAUGUGCAUAUUGAAGAAGCUACCCCAAGUUUGUGGCAGUGGGUGACGGUCUUUAUUUGAUGAACUACAGAAAUCACCAAUGCCUCUUUUGACUACAGGCAUUUUUAAAGAUUUAAUCACUGAAUGGCUGAUCACUCGUUAGCUGAGGCAUAUUGAGACCUGGGAAAGGCCUUAAUUUAAAAAGACCAAUAUCUUCCACAGCAUCUAAGCUACCUCCCAGUUGUCCUGAUCUAUGUCUUGCCACGGGAUCCAGAUGACUCCAGAGGAGAAAAUAAGCCUCUUGACUGUUCACUGCCCUGUUUCACUUAAAUCUAAUUCACUUGUAACUCACGAUAGCACCAUCCUGAUGUCAAAAUCUCUUCCUAAAUAAAGGACAUGCAA